RNAcentral lists this ribosomal RNA (71 nucleotides) under uncultured bacterium. RNAcentral's name for it is "partial 16S ribosomal RNA". The record is from RNAcentral.
GGCGUAAAGCGCAUGCAGGUGGUGGAUUAAGUCAGAUGUGAAAGCCCGGGGCUCAACCUCGGAACCUGCAU